RNAcentral lists this long non-coding RNA (282 nucleotides) under Homo sapiens (human). RNAcentral describes it as "HSALNT0016916". Lineage: Eukaryota; Metazoa; Chordata; Mammalia; Primates; Hominidae. The record is from RNAcentral.
GGGCUGAGGCCGCUGUCGCUCGCCUGCGAGCCGCUCGGAGCCCGGUGACGGGGCUGGGUUUCCCGAAGGAGCCAAGAGCCUUCCUUUGCCCGCAGCGGCUGGUCCGGUUUACAUCCCAGGCAGAGGGUCUCACUCUAUCCAAUAGGCUGGAAUGCAGUAGCAUGAUCACCACUUACUGACGCUUUGACCUCCCAGUCUCAAGCAAUCCUCCCACUUCAGCCUUUCGAGUAGCUGAGACUACAGACAGGGUCUCCCUAUGUUACUCAAGCUGGUCUCUAAGUU